GUUUUUCAGUGUCAUCGUGCAGUCCGCCAACAGAAGUGUCCUUAUGAAAAUACAAAGCAAGAGGACAAUUCCACCUUGAAAAACAGCAUUUUCACAGGCAACUCAGUCAACACAGGUGGCAGAAGUGGCACAUGUAAACUUAAGUGGACGUGUUGUGGAGAGAACUGUUAUUAUUUUUCAAAAGAAUCAAAGAACUUUGAAGACAGCAAGAAAUUUUGUGAGAGAAUGGACUCCAAACUUGUUAAGAUAGAAGAUCAACCAAGAACUGGUGAUGUGUAUUUCCUGUUUUCCAUUUUACACCAUAUGUAUGUAGGCAUUACCUGUUGACUAACUCAUUUUUAUUUAAAGCAGGGCUUUUACAAUUUUUUAAUUUAUUUUUAUUUUAUUUGAAAGGCAGAGAGACAGAUGGAGAUCUUACAUCUACUUGCUCACUCCCCAAGUACCCUCAACAGAUGGACCUGGGCCAGGCUAAAAACCAGAGCCAAAACCUCAGCCCAGGACACCCAUGUGUGUGGCAGGGGUUCAGCUGCCUCCCAGAAUGUGCAUCACCAGGGAUCUGAAUUCUGAAGUGUACAAAGGACUCAAACACAGGCACUCCUUUUUGGCAUCGAGCCUUCCAAAGGGUCAACCUAAGAGCUGCAC
This 642-nucleotide long non-coding RNA is filed under the name Oryctolagus cuniculus (rabbit). RNAcentral's name for it is "lncRNA (ENSOCUG00000032503.1)". Lineage: Eukaryota; Metazoa; Chordata; Mammalia; Lagomorpha; Leporidae. The record is from RNAcentral.